AUACGGAGGGUGCAAGCGUUAUUCGGAAUCACUGGGCGUAAAGGACGCGUAGGCGGGUUGGCAAGUCAGAUGUGAAAUCCUACAGCUUAACUGUAGAACUGCAUUUGAAACUGCUAACCUAGAGUAUGGGAGGGGGAGAUGGAAUUAGUGGUGUAGGGGUAAAAUCCGUAGAUAUCACUAGGAAUACCGAAAGCGAAGGCGAUCUCCUGGAACAUAACUGACGCUGAGGCGCGAAAGCGUGGGGAGCAAACGGGAUUAGAAACCCUAGUAGUCC
Molecule: ribosomal RNA, 274 nt
Filed under: uncultured bacterium
Lineage: Bacteria
Description: partial 16S ribosomal RNA
Rfam family: Bacterial small subunit ribosomal RNA
Source: RNAcentral